This 253-nucleotide ribosomal RNA is filed under the name uncultured bacterium. RNAcentral describes it as "partial 16S ribosomal RNA". It matches the Rfam family "Bacterial small subunit ribosomal RNA", at positions 524 to 776 of the family's 1533-position model. The record is from RNAcentral.
UACGUAGGGUGCGAGCGUUAAUCGGAAUUACUGGGCGUAAAGCGUGCGCAGGCGGUGAUGUAAGACCGAUGUGAAAUCCCCGGGCUUAACCUGGGAACUGCAUUGGUGACUGCAUUGCUGGAGUAUGGCAGAGGGGGGUGGAAUUCCACGUGUAGCAGUGAAAUGCGUAGAGAUGUGGAGGAACACCGAUGGCGAAGGCAAUCCCCUGGGCCUGCACUGACGCUCAUGCACGAAAGCGUGGGGAGCAAACAGG